Long non-coding RNA from Nerophis ophidion (straightnose pipefish), 2118 nucleotides. RefSeq lists it as uncharacterized. NCBI's taxonomy places the organism in Eukaryota, Metazoa, Chordata, Actinopteri, Syngnathiformes, Syngnathidae. The transcript is spliced from 4 exons. The record is from RefSeq and is a predicted model, not a curated record.
CGCUAGCAGGAAGUAGCCAGGAGACAGGAAGUGAUUGUAUUCCUGCUCAGACUUCCAUUGUUUGUCAAGAAACUGUGUUUGACCGGAGAAGCGGAGUUGGCACCGCCUCCAACCACCGCACCAUGUCCUCCACCUCCUGGCCACACCUCCUCUGAGUCUGGACACUCCGCCCAACUUCUGCUAUCAAAAUGUGGAAACAUAAAACAUGUUCCUUUUCCCUGCAGGUGUUGUGAAUAUUCAUGAUGUGAGAUGGUGAUGAAGAUGAGGAGGACCACGCCCUGACACAAACCAGUCAGGCAGAAACCUGGAAGCCUGAAGGCCAGCACGUGGACCAGCUGAUGGAUACUGAUGAUGUCAUCAUUAUAGUGUGUCAUGGACUAUAGACCACAACACAAUGUAGACUCAUGUAGAUGAUGAUGUCAUCAUUAUGGUGUGUCAUGGACUAUAGACCACAACACAAUGUAGAGUCAUGUAGAUGAUGAUGUCAUCAUUAUGGUGUGUCAUGGACUAUAGACCACAACACAAUGUAGAAUCAUGUAGUUUGUUAUGGAUUUAACCAAAAUAGUCUGAUGUUUCAAACAUCUAUACUUGAAGAAGACAUUGUGAAAGCAGACAGCUGUCAAACAUCUACAAACCCCAUUUCCAUAUGAGUUGGGAAAUUGUGUUAGAUGUAAAUAUAAACAGAAUACAAUGAUUUGCAAAUCCUUUUCAACCCAUAUUCAGGUGAAUGCACUACAUAGACAACAUAUUUGAUGUUCAAACUCAUAAACUUGAUUUUUUUUGUGCAAAUAAUUAUUAACUUUAGUAUUUGAUGCCAGCAACACGUGACAAAGAAGUUGGGAAAGGUGGCAAUAAAUACUGAUAAAGUUGAGGAAUGCUCAUCAAACACUUAUAUGGAACAUCCCACAGGUGUGCAGGCUAAUUGGGAACAGGUGGGUGCCAUGAGUAUGUUUAAAAACAGCUUCCCAAAAAAUGCAAAGUAAUUCACAAACAAGGAUGGGGUGAGGGUCACCAAUUUGUAAGCAAAUUGUCGAACAGUUUUAGAACAACAUUUCUCAACGAGGAAUUUAGAGAGUUUACCAUCUACGGUCCGUAAAAUCAUCAAAAAAAUCAGAGAAUCUGGAGAUAGCACUGCACGUAAGCGAUGAUAUUACAGACUUUUGAUCCCUCAGGUGGUACCGCAUCAAAAACCGACAUCAGCGUGUGAAGGAUAUCACCACAUGAGCUCAGGAACACUUCAUAAAACCACUGUCAGUAACUACAGUUGGCCGCUACAUCUGUAAGUUGCAAGUUAAAGCUCUGCUAUGCAAAGCAAAACGCAUUUAUCAACAACACCCAGGAACGCCGCCGGCUUCGCUGGGCCCGAAAUCAUCUAAGCUGCACUGAUGCAAAGUGGAAAAGUGUUCUGUUGUCUGACGAGUCCACAUUUCAAAUUUUAUUUGGAAACUGUGGACGUGGUGCCCUCCAGAACAAAAAGGAAAAUAACCAUCUGGAUUGUUAUAGGCGCAAAGUUGAAAAGCCAGCAUCUGUGAUGGUAUGGGGGUGCAUUAGUGCCCAAGGCAUGGGUAACUUACACAUCUGUGAAGGCACCAUUAAUGCAAGUUUUGGAACAACAUAUGUUGUCAUCCAAGCAAUGUUAUCAUGGACGCCCCUGCUUAUUUCAGCAAGACAAUGCCAAGCCACAUGUUACAACAGCGUGGCUUUGUAGUAAAAGAGUGCCGGUACUUUCCUGGCCCGCCUGCAGUCCGGACCUGUCUCCCAUGGAAAAUGUGUGGCGCAUUAUGAAGCGUAAAAUACGACAGCGGAGACCCCGGACUGUUGAACGACUGAAGCUCUACAUAAAACAAGAAUGGGAAAGAAUUUCACUUUCAAAGCUUCAACAAUUAGUUUCCUCAGUUCCCAAAACGUUUAUUCAGUGUUGUUAAAAUAAAAGGUGAUGUAACACAGUGGUGAACAUGCCCUUUCCCAACUACUUUGGCACGUGUUGCAGCCAGGAAAUUCUAAGUUAAUUAUUUGCACAAAAAAAAAAUAAAGUUUAUGAGUUUGAACAUCAAAUAUGUUGUCUUUGUAGCAUAUUCAACUGAAUAUGGCUUGAAAAGGAUAUGCAAAAUCUUUGUA